RNAcentral lists this ribosomal RNA (1326 nucleotides) under Actinobacteria bacterium GB10C. Its description in RNAcentral is "bacterial SSU rRNA". It matches the Rfam family "Bacterial small subunit ribosomal RNA", at positions 83 to 1423 of the family's 1533-position model. Lineage: Bacteria; Bacillati; Actinomycetota; Actinomycetes. The record is from RNAcentral.
GCUGGGGGAUUAGUGGCGAACGGGUGAGUAACACGUGAGUAACCUGCCCUUGACUCUGGGAUAAGCCUGGGAAACUGGGUCUAAUACCGGAUAUGACUCCUCAUCGCAUGGUGGGGGGUGGAAAGCUUUUGUGGUUUUGGAUGGACUCGCGGCCUAUCAGCUUGUUGGUGGGGUAAUGGCCUACCAAGGCGACGACGGGUAGCCGGCCUGAGAGGGUGACCGGCCACACUGGGACUGAGACACGGCCCAGACUCCUACGGGAGGCAGCAGUGGGGAAUAUUGCACAAUGGGCGCAAGCCGGGAUGCAGCGACGCCGCGUGAGGGAUGACGGCCUUCGGGUUGUAAACCUCUUUCAGUAGGGAAGGAAGCGUAAGUGACGGUACCUGCAGAAGAAGCGCCGGCUAACUACGUGCCAGCAGCCGCGGUAAUACGUAGGGCGCAAGCGUUAUCCGGAAUUAUUGGGCGUAAAGAGCUCGUAGGCGGUUUGUCGCGUCUGCUGUGAAAGACCGGGGCUCAACUCCGGUUCUGCAGUGGGUACGGGCAGACUAGAGUGCAGUAGGGGAGACUGGAAUUCCUGGUGUAGCGGUGAAAUGCGCAGAUAUCAGGAGGAACACCGAUGGCGAAGGCAGGUCUCUGGGCUGUAACUGACGCUGAGGAGCGAAAGCAUGGGGAGCGAACAGGAUUAGAUACCCUGGUAGUCCAUGCGUAAACGUUGGGCACUAGGUGUGGGGGACAUUCCACGUUUUCCGCGCGUAGCUAACGCAUUAAGUGCCCCGCUGGGGAGUACGGCCGCAAGGCUAAAACUCAAAGGAAUUGACGGGGGCCCGCACAAGCGGCGGAGCAUGCGGAUUAAUUCGAUGCAACGCGAAGAACCUUACCAAGGCUUGACAUGAACCGGAAAGACCUGGAAACAGGUGCCCCGCUUGCGGUCGGUUUACAGGUGGUGCAUGGUUGUCGUCAGCUCGUGUCGUGAGAUGUUGGGUUAAGUCCCGCAACGAGCGCAACCCUCGUUCUAUGUUGCCAGCGGUUCGGCCGGGGACUCAUAGGAGACUGCCGGGGUCAACUCGGAGGAAGGUGGGGACGACGUCAAAUCAUCAUGCCCCUUAUGUCUUGGGCUUCACGCAUGCUACAAUGGCCGGUACAAAGGGUUGCGAUACUGUGAGGUGGAGCUAAUCCCAAAAAGCCGGUCUCAGUUCGGAUUGGGGUCUGCAACUCGACCCCAUGAAGUCGGAGUCGCUAGUAAUCGCAGAUCAGCAACGCUGCGGUGAAUACGUUCCCGGGCCUUGUACACACCGCCCGUCAAGUCACGAAAGUUGGUAACACCCG